GAAAGAGAGCAAUGGAACAAACCAUUGCUUCCCAGUGGCGGUAGUGGUAAAGAAACCGCCUGCCAAUACAGGAGAUUAUUCUUGCCUGCAGAAUCCCAUGGACAGAGGAGCCUGGCGGGCUACCGCCCGUAGGGGUCGCAAAGAAUCAGCCACGACUGAGCAACUACGCAUGCGUGAUCUCAGAAACUUGGUUUCCUGGAAACUGCUGCUUUUCUAAGAGGCCGCGGUGGUGCGGUGCGGUGCACGGGAGGGAGGAGAAAGCAAAUAGCAGUACCAAGUCCAUUUGCUGAUCUGGCCUAGUUAGAGCUGAGAGUCGGAGAGGAGAGAGCUCGGGUUCCUUCAAAAGCAGUCCCUGGAGUGGCCCAGCCUACACCCCACUGUCACCUUCCAGCGGACCCCCAACCCCCAAGGUCAGCUCCAGGGGUGAACUCUGAUACCUUGAGAAGAUGACAGAUGUGAAAAGCGGGAUAAUCUUCUUCGUGGCAAAGGGUUCUCUGUCUGCGGGUUUAACGGCCAUAGGGUCUGCGGUGUGGCCUGCUGCGCUAGUAGUGGUCGCUGGGAUGGCCUUGUACGCCUGGAAGAAGAGCACUGAAAGACCAUGCCCUAAGAGGUCCUAGGUGGACAUCAGGUAAAAAUGAACAAGAACCCUAAAAUGUAUUGAAAGGAAUCCUCUCCCAGUCCCCUGCAGACUGGAGAGUCCACCUUCCUGGGGUCAGGAAUUCUUUGAAGCAACAUUUUAUCUUUGGGGUUUGAACAAAAUCAACUUGUGGGCAAAAAAAUAAAUUCAUUGAAUGUGCCUGACUCUAUUACAGAACUGGUGUCUGAAUCACAGGAUUCAGGGUCCUUGGA
Bos taurus (domestic cattle) is the source of this 849-nucleotide long non-coding RNA. The record is from Ensembl. NCBI's taxonomy places the organism in Eukaryota, Metazoa, Chordata, Mammalia, Artiodactyla, Bovidae.